This 467-nucleotide ribosomal RNA is filed under the name uncultured bacterium. RNAcentral's name for it is "partial 16S ribosomal RNA". It matches the Rfam family "Bacterial small subunit ribosomal RNA", at positions 28 to 506 of the family's 1533-position model. The record is from RNAcentral.
GACGAACGCUGGCGGCGUGCUUAACACACGCCAGUCGAACGGAAAGGCCCUGCUUUUGUGGGGUGCUCGAGUGGCGAACGGGUGAGUAACACGUGAGUAACCUGCCCUUGACUUUGGGAUAACUUCAGGAAACUGGGGCUAAUACCGGAUAGGAGCUCCUGCUGCAUGGUGGGGGUUGGAAAGUUUCGGCGGUUGGGGAUGGACUCGCGGCUUAUCAGCUUGUUGGUGGGGUAGUGGCUUACCAAGGCUUUGACGGGUAGCCGGCCUGAGAGGGUGACCGGCCACAUUGGGACUGAGAUACGGCCCAGACUCCUACGGGAGGCAGCAGUGGGGAAUAUUGCACAAUGGGCGGAAGCCUGAUGCAGCAACGCCGCGUGCGGGAGGACGGCCUUCGGGUGGUAAACCGCUUUCGCCUGUGACGAAGCGUGAGUGACGGGAAUGGGGAAAGAAGCACCGGCUAACUACGU